GAUGAACGCUGGCGGCGUGCCUAAUACAUGCAAGUCGAGCGAACGGACGAGAAGCUUGCUUCUCUGAUGUUAGCGGCGGACGGGUGAGUAACACGUGGAUAACCUACCUAUAAGACUGGGAUAACUUCGGGAAACCGGAGCUAAUACCGGAUAAUAUUUUGAACCGCAUGGUUCAAAAGUGAAAGACGGUCUUGCUGUCACUUAUAGAUGGAUCCGCGCUGCAUUAGCUAGUUGGUAAGGUAACGGCUUACCAAGGCAUCGAUGCAUAGCCGACCUGAGAGGGUGAUCGGCCACACUGGAACUGAGACACGGUCCAGACUCCUACGGGAGGCAGCAGUAGGGAAUCUUCCGCAAUGGGCGAAAGCCUGACGGAGCAACGCCGCGUGAGUGAUGAAGGUUUUCGGAUCGUAAAACUCUGUUAUUAGGGAAGAACAUAUGUGUAAGUAACUGUGCACAUCUUGACGGUACCUAAUCAGAAAGCCACGGCUAACUACGUG
Molecule: ribosomal RNA, 497 nt
Filed under: uncultured bacterium
Lineage: Bacteria
Description: partial 16S ribosomal RNA
Rfam family: Bacterial small subunit ribosomal RNA
Source: RNAcentral